GUACUCAGUUUAGCAGAACAUACGCUGAAAUUACAAUGAUACAGAGAAGAUUAGAAUAGCCCCUGUGCAAGGAUGACAUUCAAAUUCAUGAUUCAUUCCAUAUUUUU
Small nuclear RNA from Hemiscyllium ocellatum (epaulette shark), 107 nucleotides. The record is from RefSeq and is a predicted model, not a curated record. NCBI's taxonomy places the organism in Eukaryota, Metazoa, Chordata, Chondrichthyes, Orectolobiformes, Hemiscylliidae.